This 253-nucleotide ribosomal RNA is filed under the name uncultured bacterium. RNAcentral describes it as "partial 16S ribosomal RNA". It matches the Rfam family "Bacterial small subunit ribosomal RNA", at positions 524 to 776 of the family's 1533-position model. The record is from RNAcentral.
UACGGAGGGCGCGAGCGUUGUCCGGAAUCACUGGGCGUAAAGGGCGCGUAGGUGGCCUGCUAAGCGUGUGGUGAAAGCUCGGGGCUCAACCCCGAGUCGGCCGUGCGAACUGGUGGACUGGAGCACUGUAGAGGCAGGUGGAAUUCCGGGUGUAGCGGUGGAAUGCGUAGAGAUCCGGAAGAACACCGGUGGCGAAGGCGGCCUGCUGGGCAGUUGCUGACACUGAGGAGCGACAGCGUGGGGAGCAAACAGG